UGAAGAGGAAAAAUGAUUCUGAACAGGAAAGUGUGGUGUUUGUCCUUCGAAAGGGAAAGAGAAUAAGUGAAAAUAGAAAAAUAAAUUUCACUAAAAGUAUGAACAGUGAAGUUUGAAAAACAAUUCCGAGAAGUCCUACCCAUGGAGAUUAAGCAGGAGAGAGGCAUUGCCCCAUUGUACCCCAGAUGGUUUUGCAGGUGCUGGUGACUUGUGGAUCAGAGGCCUCGAGCUGGUGGGAGUCUGGGACCAUGGAAUUCGCCUGGGGCUGCCGCAAGUUCUAUGUUAAGAGGAACAGCAUCCAGCUGUGGCAAAAGAGAACAUUAACUGUAACUUGAAGACUGAAUCCAAGGUGAGCAUAAGAAGAAAGCUGCUGGCGUCUGUAGCAACAUGGCUAUGAAGUCCAGCCUCAUCGAAGUCCAGAUGGCCUCCGUUUCCAGGACUAUGUUUCUUUAAUACUGUCUGCCUGGAGUCUCCUCUCCCUUCAAUCCCCUUCUCACUCCUACCUUGUCUUGACAUCAAUCCUUACAUGUUUUCUGGCUCCUGACAACCUGCUUCAGAGAGUCUAGUCCUGUUUCUGGCAGUGCUGCCUGGGAUCUCUGUCCAACGCAGAAACCAACACAACAACACUUGGGAAAUUCCUAAAUUAAUAAUAAAAAAACUUAGCCUUUUUUUUUUGGAAAAUUAGAUGAACAUUAAACAGCACAAGCUUCAGAGAAAAACAGAUUUAACUUAAAUUCCUC
This 740-nucleotide long non-coding RNA is filed under the name Rhinopithecus roxellana (golden snub-nosed monkey). RNAcentral's name for it is "lncRNA (ENSRROG00000045999.1)". Lineage: Eukaryota; Metazoa; Chordata; Mammalia; Primates; Cercopithecidae. The record is from RNAcentral.